AUUGAACGCUGGCGGCAGGCCUAACACAUGCCAGUCGAGCGGAUGAAGGGAGCUUGCUCCUGGAUUCAGCGGCGGACGGGUGAGUAAUGCCUAGGAAUCUGCCUGGUAGUGGGGGAUAACGUCCGGAAACGGGCGCUAAUACCGCAUACGUCCUGAGGGAGAAAGUGGGGGAUCUUCGGACCUCACGCUAUCAGAUGAGCCUAGGUCGGAUUAGCUAGUUGGUGGGGCAAAGGCCUACCAAGGCGACGAUCCGUAACUGGUCUGAGGGGAUGAUCAGUCACACUGGAACUGAGACACGGUCCAGACUCCUACGGGAGGCAGCAGUGGGGAAUAUUGGACAAUGGGCGAAAGCCUGAUCCAGCCAUGCCGCGUGUGUGAAGAAGGUCUUCGGAUUGUAAAGCACUUUAAGUUGGGAGGAAGGGCAGUAAGUUAAUACCUUGCUGUUUUGACGUUACCAACAGAAUAAGCACCGGCUAACUUCGUG
This 484-nucleotide ribosomal RNA is filed under the name uncultured bacterium. Its description in RNAcentral is "partial 16S ribosomal RNA". It matches the Rfam family "Bacterial small subunit ribosomal RNA", at positions 30 to 507 of the family's 1533-position model. The record is from RNAcentral.